This 439-nucleotide ribosomal RNA is filed under the name uncultured bacterium. RNAcentral describes it as "partial 16S ribosomal RNA". It matches the Rfam family "Bacterial small subunit ribosomal RNA", at positions 339 to 795 of the family's 1533-position model. The record is from RNAcentral.
CUACGGGUCGCACCAGCGGGGAAUAUUGCACAAUGGGGGAAACCCUGAUGCAGCAACGCCGCGUGGAGGAUGACGCAUUUCGGUGUGUAAACUCCUUUUGUAUAGGAAGAUAAUGACGGUACUAUAUGAAUAAGCACCGGCUAACUCCGUGCCAGCAGCCGCGGUAAUACGGAGGGUGCAAGCGUUACUCGGAAUCACUGGGCGUAAAGCGCGCGCAGGCGGCCUUUUAAGUUGGAUGUGAAAGCCUAUGGCUUAACCAUAGAACUGCAUCCAAAACUAUCAGACUAGAGUCUGGGAGGGGGAGAUGGAAUUAGUUGUGUAGGGGUAAAAUCCGUAGAGAUAACUAGGAAUACCAAAAGCGAAGGCGAUCUUCUGGAACAGUACUGACGCUGAGGCGCGAAAGCGUGGGGAGCAAACAGGAUUAGAUACCCCCGUAGUC